Molecule: ribosomal RNA, 441 nt
Filed under: uncultured Acinetobacter sp.
Lineage: Bacteria; Pseudomonadati; Pseudomonadota; Gammaproteobacteria; Moraxellales; Moraxellaceae
Description: bacterial SSU rRNA
Rfam family: Bacterial small subunit ribosomal RNA
Source: RNAcentral
GGAAUAUUGGACAAUGGGGGGAACCCUGAUCCAGCCAUGCCGCGUGUGUGAAGAAGGCCUUUUGGUUGUAAAGCACUUUAAGCGAGGAGGAGGCUCCUAUAGAUAAUACCUAUAGAGAGUGGACGUUACUCGCAGAAUAAGCACCGGCUAACUCUGUGCCAGCAGCCGCGGUAAUACAGAGGGUGCAAGCGUUAAUCGGAUUUACUGGGCGUAAAGCGUACGUAGGUGGUCUUUUAAGUCGGAUGUGAAAUCCCUGAGCUUAACUUAGGAAUUGCAUUCGAUACUGGGAGACUAGAGUAUGGGAGAGGAUGGUAGAAUUCCAGGUGUAGCGGUGAAAUGCGUAGAGAUCUGGAGGAAUACCGAUGGCGAAGGCAGCCAUCUGGCCUAAUACUGACACUGAGGUACGAAAGCAUGGGGAGCAAACAGGAUUAGAUACCCUGG